GAUGAAUGUUGGCGGUGUGCCUGAGAUAUGCAAGUCGAAUGCCUUGUGUGGAGCAAUCUGCGCAAGUAAUGGCGGACGGCUGAGUAACACGUAGGGACUUACCUCUUUUUGAAGGAUAGCCCAUCGAAAGGUGGGAUAAUACUUCAUGGUAUGAGUACCGCAAGGUAUUUAUUAAAGAGAUUAACUUCUCGAAAAAGAGAUGGACCUGCGGCUUAUCAGAUAGUUGGUAGGGUAACGGCCUACCAAGUCUACGACGAGUAGCUGGCCUGAGAAGGUGGUCAGCCAGAGGGGACUGAGACACGGCCCCCACACCUACGGGUGGCAG
This 325-nucleotide ribosomal RNA is filed under the name uncultured Microgenomates group bacterium. RNAcentral describes it as "bacterial SSU rRNA". It matches the Rfam family "Bacterial small subunit ribosomal RNA", at positions 28 to 351 of the family's 1533-position model. The record is from RNAcentral.